Peromyscus eremicus (cactus mouse) is the source of this 187-nucleotide long non-coding RNA. RefSeq lists it as uncharacterized. Lineage: Eukaryota; Metazoa; Chordata; Mammalia; Rodentia; Cricetidae. The transcript has 2 exons. The record is from RefSeq and is a predicted model, not a curated record.
GGUAAGUCAGACUGCCUCGUCAGCCCACGUGACUCUGAACAGCAGAGCUCUAAUCUCAGCACUCAGCAGUCUCACAGGACUGCCGGAGUGAGAACACCAGAACUCAUGGGUGAAGAAAACCAACAUGACUAAAAGAGAAAGCUUGAAAGUUAAAGAACUACUUAAGUGGCUUUGAAAACACUUUAGA